This 560-nucleotide long non-coding RNA is filed under the name Helianthus annuus (common sunflower). Its description in RNAcentral is "sRNA HanXRQr2_Chr13g0603011". The record is from RNAcentral. Lineage: Eukaryota; Viridiplantae; Streptophyta; Magnoliopsida; Asterales; Asteraceae.
AAGUGUGUUUCUGGUCGACAUUUUCACCAGACAAGAAAAGAUUCUUCUCUUGAACCCUAAAUUACAAAGAAAUGCUCAAAUCGAAGGGGAAAUCAAGCUAAAAAUUGGGGAUUUUAUUAAAUUCGUGAUCACCAAGUCAUGAGGAUCACAAGUUUGACUCUUGACGAGCUAGGUGAAGCUUGGAGGAGAUGAUCAAACGGGAUAAAGACACAAGUAAGAUUUGCUUGGAUGAAAGGUAAGUAAAGCUUACACCUAUUUUUUUAGCAUACGUAUUUAUUCUAUAGGUGAUAAAUACAACAAUAGAUCAUGUUCGAAUUAUGGGUUCCGACACGAAACGAAAUGGGUUGGAACGAAUAAAAAUGUUUAAAAUCAUGAUUAAUGGUGAAAGAGGUAAAAUGGUAAUUUAGUCAUAAAUCGACUAAGAAUUUAUGAGUUUUCUUAAAGUUACCUCAUAGCUUAACUAAUAAUGGAAAAAGGGGUAAAAUGGUAAUUUAGUCACGUGAUGACUUAUUGUAAUCGAGAUUAAAAGGAUAUCCACGGCGUAAGCCGAACUGGGUCAA